CUACGGGCGUCCGCAUUGUAAUCUAUAGAGGCGUUUUCUGUGCUGGACCGUGUCCAAGUCCCUUGGAACAGGGUAUCAAAGAGGGUGACAAUCCCGUACUUGACACGACAACCAGUGCUCUGUGAUACGUCUUCUACGAGUCGAGUUGUUUGGGAAUGCAGCUCAAAAUGGGUGGUGAAUUCCAUCUAAAGCUAAAUAUUGGCGAGAGACCGAUAGCGAACAAGUACCGUGAGGGAAAGAUGAAAAGCACUUUGGAAAGAGAGUUAAACAGUAUGUGAAAUUGUUGAAAGGGAAACGAUGGAGGUCAGUCGUGUCUGUGGGAUUCAGCCGUCUCUGGCGGUGUACUUCCCACAGACGGGUCAACAUCAGUUUUGGCUGGCGGAUAAAGGCAGGAGGAAGGUGGCACCCCCGGGUGUGUUAUAGCCUCUUGUUGCAUACGCUGGCUGAGACUGAGGAAUGCAGCUCGCCUUUAUGGCCGGGGUUCGCCCACGUUCGAGCUUAGGAUGU
RNAcentral lists this ribosomal RNA (507 nucleotides) under Saitozyma podzolica. RNAcentral describes it as "eukaryotic LSU rRNA". It matches the Rfam family "Eukaryotic large subunit ribosomal RNA", at positions 128 to 626 of the family's 3401-position model. Lineage: Eukaryota; Fungi; Basidiomycota; Tremellomycetes; Tremellales; Trimorphomycetaceae. The record is from RNAcentral.